GUGCUUGCUUCGGCAGCACACAUACUAAAAUUAGAACGAUACGGAGAAGAUUGGCAUGGCCCCUGCACCAAGGAUGACACACAAAUUUGUGAGGUGUUCCUUAUUUGG
This is a small nuclear RNA of Phacochoerus africanus (Common warthog), 108 nucleotides long. NCBI's taxonomy places the organism in Eukaryota, Metazoa, Chordata, Mammalia, Artiodactyla, Suidae. The record is from RefSeq and is a predicted model, not a curated record.